UUUUUUUUUUAAUUUCACAAAAUGAUUCUGAGGUUCAACUGGAAUAAUCAAUAGAUAAGGAAAGCAAAGAAUCACACAGGAACCAUUAUGCUCCCAGGCACUAAAGAAUUUACGUAAAGCAGUAAGAACUGAAAGCAGUGUAACCCUACAUACAAGGAUUAGAGGACAAAGCAGCGUAACAGGAUGGCCCAGAAGCAUACCCUACUCACUGUGUCCCUGCGAACCUCAAUUCCAAAUGGACUGACAAAAAAUAAAAGAACAAAAUCAUGUAAUGAUUUACAAAAUAUCAUUAAGGGUUUCUGUUCUGACAUGCAAAGAACUUAGAAGCCACAACUACCAUCCCCACAACAAGAAAAAAAGCUGAACAAACUGAAAAUGAACAAUUCUUAUUAGACCUACUAGAGAACUGAGGGCCAAGGCAUACUGCUGCCCUGAAAACUGAAGAGAAACAGGUAAAUACAGAGAAUCAUAGCUGGUAGGAAGCAGAAUCCCACAGUUUGGGGCCAGCACCCCCAGGAACACUGAGGCCAUAACUGACCAACUGCUGAAAGCUGAGUGUGAACCAGAUGGAGAGCUAGAAGCUCGGGGCAAGGACAGUCCUGGGGAGGGAACCUUCCCAAGUUUUACCUCCAGGCUCCCACAGGUUCCCUAGGAAGAUCAGAGAAAAAUCCCCUCACACUCUUAGCAGAGGGAGAGUAACUAUUUUAAAAUAGUCCAACAGGCUCUCUGUUCUCCGUAACAAAGCCCUCCCCUCAAAGGAAAAUUUUACCAAAGACUAACCAAUCCGGAGAAAAGAAAAUACCUAAUUUCCUCUGCAGCCUUCCUGACUCAUCCAAACCCUGAGGUGAGGAUGACAAGGGAGCUGAGAGACACGCAGGAAAUUCAAGGAAAGGUUAAGCCUGAGACCCGAUCACCUGAUUACAGGAUGUUCCGCUCCCCCCACAACCCCUGGCCUGCCACCACUAACGCUCCUACAGAACAAGGGGCGCAGCUGGAGGAACCACCAGCUUCAGGAACUAGAAGAGAGCCCAAGGGCAACAAGAGCACUGGCGGAAAUUUCAACCUCUGGCAUCACAGUGUCAGCAAACAGUAAACAAAGCCUAACGCCUAGCCUGCUAACGUAAGUAAAACCUCACCCUAAAGGCCUAGUCCGUUCCUUUUACUCAAUACAUUGUGUCUGGCUCCCAACAACAACAACAACAACAAAUUAUAAAGCCUGCUAAAAUGCAAACAAAACAAAACAGUCUGAGGACACAAAAUAAGCAUCAGAACCAGACUCAGCUCUGGUUCAGACGAGAGACUUUUAGCAUUACACACUGAGAAUUUAAUAACUGAUUAACUGAUGCUAACAACUUUAAUGGGAAGGAAGAGUGGACACCACGCAAAAACAGGUAGAUAUAUACUGUAAGCAAUGUAAGCACAGACAUGAAAACCCUAAGAAAAAGCCAAAAGGAAAUGACAAAAAUCAAUACACUAUAAAAGAAAUGAAGAAUGCCUUUGAUGGGCUCAUCGAUAAGACUGCACACAGCUGAGAAAAGAAUCAGUGUGCUUAAAGAUAUGUCAACAGAACUCUCCCAAGUGAAAAGCAAAGAGGAAAAAAGAAUCGGAAACACAGAACGGAAUGUCCAAGAACUGUGGGGCAAUUACAAAAGGUCUAACUAUGCAUGACGGGAAUAUCAGAAGGAAGAGAAAGGGACAGAAGAGGCGCUGAACUAACAAUGGCGACGUCUCCAAAGCAAAUGACAGACACUAAAUCACAGAUCCAUGAAGCUCAGAGACCAUCAGUCAAACAAUCAAUCAAUCUGCAUUGAGGGGUAUCAUAUUCAAACUGCACAAAAUCAGAUACAGAGAAAAUCUUGCAAGAAGCCAGAGGAAAAAACACCCAAGAGGAGCCACAUUGAACAUUACACCAGAAUCCUCCUCAAAACGUACAUCUUCUCUGAAGAAGAGACUGAAAGGAAAUACCUACUGCUGGAAAAACAAACAAAACCCAUCAGCCUCGACUUCUGCAUCCAGGAAGACAACCCUUCAAAGAUAAAGGACAUACCAAGUUCUCUCAGAGGAACAUAAAUUGAGAGAAUGUGUCACCAGCAGACCCGCCCUGCAAAAACGUUACAAGUUCUUCAGAGACAGAAAAUGAUUUAUGUCAGAAACUAGAUUUACAUAAAAAAGGAAGAGCCUUACAGAAAGAAAGCAUGAAAGCAAAAUACCACUAAACACGUACAUAUUUGGAGAUGUAUAUAUAUCAUCUUUAAGAUACAUAACCAAAGGCAAAAGCCCCAAAGGAUAAGUAAUUUUGACUAUACCAAAAUCAAAAACUAUUCUAUACAUAAAAACACCAUGGGAGUUCCCAUCGUGGCGCAGUGGUUAACGAAUCCGACUAGGAACCAUGAGGUUGCGGGUUCGGUCCCUGCCCUUGCUCAGUGGGUUAAGGAUCCGGCGUUGCCGUGAGCUGUGGUGUAGGUUGCAGACUCGGCUCGGAUCCCGCGUUGCUGUGGCUCUGGCGUAGGCCGGUGGCUACAGCUCCGAUUCGACCCCUAGCCUGGGAACCUCCAUAUGCCGCAGGAGCGGCCCAAGAAAUAGCAGAAAGACAAAAAAAAAAAAAAACACCAUGAACCAAACUGAAUACCUAACUACUAUCUAGGGAAAAUUAUGAAAAUAUCCCUAACAAUUUUUUUUUUUUUUUUUGGCUUUUUAGGGCCGCGCCCACAGCUUAUGGAGGUUCCCAGGCUAGGGGUCAAAUCAGAGCUGUAGCUGCCAGCCUACACCACAGCCACAGCAACGUGAGAUCCAAGCCGAAUCUGCAGCCUACAACACAGCUCGUGGUAACACCGGAUCCUUAACCCACUGAACAAGGCCAGGGAUUGAACCCACAACCUCAUGGUUCCUAGUCGGAUUUGUUUCCGCUGCGCCACGAUGGGAACUCCCAACACAUUUUUUUAACAAAGCAUCCAGUUUGGAAAAGGGGGCAGUAAAGGCUCCAUUGCUUUGGAUGUAAAAUAAAUGGGUAUAUGACAUCAACGGGGUGAGAUUUUGUGUCCUACACUGGGGACAACCAAAGGAACGGUUUAAAUAAAAGGCAACAGCUCUUCUCAAAACUAUCUUUAAGUCUGGCAAUUUCAUAUUACCCUUUAAUGUUAAUCUAACAGGACUUAUUUUAAAUUGUAUAUAAAAACUGUGGCUUAGAAAUGUCAACUCAAUCCGUAUUUUUCUUAUCAGAGCUACAUUAAUCAGUCAUAAACCACUUUAUCAGAUCUUCUUAAAUUAAAAACCAUCGAGGAUUACUUACACGCCAUAAAUUUUUUUGUAAAUAACAACGUCGUCUUAAAUUCUGUCAAAAUAUGAUUAAUAAUCAAUAUAUAAAGUUCCACAUUGAUGGAUCUCACAUUGAAAAGGCCCUUAAAUCACAACCAGAGCUUCGGGGACACUUGCGAGGGCACGCUCACAAGUCACUUACGUGACAAGAGCCGAACCAAAAUUCUCAGGCUUAGAUGGCUGAUCUUCCUAAACUAUCCUUGUGACUACCAAAUUAAUAAGACUUUCCCACUCUUCUUUAUUCUGCAACCAAAAUGCAAGGAGGGACUAAGCCUUCCCUGGCUUUUUUAAGUACCAAAACUAUAAAAAUUGUUUUGGCACUUUAAUACCUCAAUACCCAAAAGAAGAAGGGCUACAAAACCCAAGACAGCAGUUAACACACAAACACUUUUCCUACCUCAUUCUGCCUUCUUCCCUUGUUCUGCAUUCCAUUUAUAUCUGUAAAUCUCCUCAAUAAUUUUUCAGGACAAGAUAAGUGAAUGAAAAAUAUGAAGAAAAUGUGUAAUUCAAAUUUAGAAAGUCAACUGCAAACAUUCAACUAUAUUCAACACCAUUUAAGUCAAAAAUCUCAAAACCUACUAUACCACCCAUCACAUACAACUCCACUAUGGGAGUUGUAAAAUAACCUACUACUUUCACCUAGUAAUUUUUCAAAGUAACUCUCAUUUCAAAGAACCUUAUUUUUAAAGGCAGUAACUUCACAUGAGGACAGGGGAAGGUGAGGUGAAAUGCAAAGAUUCAUGGAGCUCUUCUGUUCCUUGAUUUCAGUUCUGGAUUGGUACACUUACUAAGAAAUAAAUUUUUUUUAAGAAAUAAAUUUUUUAAAAAUCUUUAAAGUACAGCUAAAAGGCAAAUAAACAGAGCUCCCAACAAAUUCAGCAUCUUGCUCAAAAUGUUUUCACUGCUAAUUAGGAAAAUCCAAAGUUAUUCAUAAACAUGGAAGUUGUUAUAAUGUGCAGAUCAAAACACUGCUUAUUCAUGAAACCAUGUACAGCAAUUACAUUCUCGACCUUCCUUAAGGCUGACCAGUACCUAGGGCCACACUCUAACGCCAGAAAAAAAGCAGCAGCAGCAAUAACAGAUGCUGAAAGGGGUGAUCACAGCACAGUUUCUCUCUCACACUCUCUGUCACGGGCCUACCAAAUUUUCCAACAGUGGAAUGGCAAAUAAUAGUUGGCCUGAGAUUAAAAAAAGUCUUUGAAGUUGCAUAAGAGCCAAGAAUUCUGCUCUUUGGGAUUCUCAUGAUCCCAGCAGUAAAUCUCAAAGUACAGCCUAUUCUGUUCUAUAUCUGAGUGAAAAAAUAAGAAAAAAAUUGAAAUUCCUAAAUUAAAAUUAAGGCUAUGAAGCACAUGUUUUUCCCUCCAUCUGCGACUGUGACAAUGCAUCACUGUGGGAAAAUGGACAGUAAAGGAAGCACCACGUGAAACCUUUUCCGUGGUGGAGAAACAGCCUUUUUCCUUCACUAACUUAGUCAUCAUUACUGCUUUUUUAAAAGCACUUCGAAGCUCAAGAGUUAUUUUAUACAUAAAUGCACACAUGCACACGCACACACAGAAAUGCCCCAGUCACAAUCCGAAUUUAAUCUGCAUCUCAUGAAAAUGUACUCUUAAGUGGCCAAUUUGACAAGGGUUAGAAGGAAAGAGGGAAGAAAGUUUGGUCACAUUAAAAGGUCAGGGCUUUUCUAUAACUUCUAUUAAAGUAAUUAGAUUUCUAUCUUUAAGAGCAAAUACUGUGAAUGGACAGUGAUUUUUAACUUUUCCUAAGAGAGGGAAGAAAUGAACAGCGACUCUGCAGCCGAACGUGAAACUCCUGUAACAUCAUCAUUCAUGGCAUUUACCUGAACGCCUAUCAGACAAGCAGGAGGAAAUGCAGCCUGUCAACCACAUCAAGCCGAAAGACAACAGCAAAGAGAAACUAGAUGUGGGGGUAUCACACCUCACAACAACUUAACAUUGGAGUUUUGUACUUUACAUUUCCACAUUCGCUGUAUCAUUUGAAGAUUAUACAAUCUUCCCGAUAACUCUUUGAGGACCGCAGAGUGAGCAACAUUUCUAUUAAAGUUAUACAUUUAUAGCACACUUAAAAGAGCCCAGUACACAAUGAGUAUUCACCAACUGCUGGUUACGACCGCCUGCUGCAGUGGAAGGUUUAGAGGUUUGCCACUGGCGGGAAAGGCAGAAACCCAUGUAAGAAACACGGGUCCAACAGCCACGUGGGGAAAAAAACGUGGGGAAGGAGUGUACACAAGCCAAGGAGGACCAAAGGGAAGGGAAGUCGGCAAGGAGACCAGACUACAGCGAGUCACACGAUUAAUCAGUCACAGAAGUUCCAACCUGGGACAAUCAGACAUUCCCAGGCGGGCUCAUCUCAGGUCAGAGACUCUCACCACUGAGCACGCCCGGGCUCAUCAGCACAAAGUCCGAGACACCCCGUCUCCCUCACUGAGAACCCUAUUUUGAGACACUAAAAUUUCAUCACAAGUUUUCUCUUUUUCCUUGUUUUAACCUUCAAAACAUGAGGGGAUGAUCAAGAAAUUUAUGCCCCAGAGGACACUAGUGAAUGGUUUUUAUUCUAUCCUACCUAACAAAACGAAGAUGUCUAUUAAAACAUAAGAUCACGUCAAGUCAGUCUUUCUAAUCAGCUUUUCCAUGAAGGAAACAACGGAGCAAAGUUGGUUUUCUGCCAAAAAUGUAGAGCACGGUGGGAACAUGCAACAUUUCAUUAGAGAGAGAGGUGGGUUUUAUUAAAAAGCAAUAAAACUAUGGUGAAAUAGAAAAUACUAGCAAUUGGAAACAGCUUCCUAACAUCCAAAUACAAAAUAAUCAUAUUUCAUGUGAUACCUCAGUCCUAUUUGAUCAAAAAUCUUAGUCUCAAAGCUGAAUGCUGAACUAAUUUCAGUUUGAUAUGGACAAAGCUUAAAUAACUAACAAAUGCAAGGUGAAGGAGGAGGAUUUUAUUGAUUUUAUUUAAAUCAAACAACUCAAUUUACUCAAAGCUCCAACAUUCCUCCAAAUAGUCAAAAGAUAUUUCUUAUCACUGAAUUCUUGAGAUACGGUCUUUUUAUAACACACUCUAGAAACGUAAAAAACUACAAACAGCCCUAGUUAAUUACCAAACACUGAAAGAACAGAACUAGGGUAGAAUUUACAACUCUCUUUAUUGAAGAACAAAUUAAAAAAAAAAAAAUUUUUGGCAGUAGGAUUUUAGUUAUAAUGUUAAUGUUAUGCAGCCAGUAUUUUUAAGACUUUAUUUUUUUAAAGUUACCAUUAACGAAAAUAAAAAUAUACUGUAACAAGGCAUUAUUUUGAAAGAACAAACAGAGAACUCAAAAGAGAAUUCAUAGUUUAAAGACAAGAAAGAACAUCCAGUUACCAACAUCUACUGACUUAUUUACCAGGGGGAAAAAAAAAUCAACUAGAUUGAUCAGCCCAUUUCCUAUACUGUUUUGCUUCAAAGCAUAAAGUGAAUAUACAGGAGUAUGCAAUCAAUGAACCAGUGACAUCUCUAAAUUACAUUCAUUAAUCAACUUAAACAUAAUUUGUAAUUAGAAAUAAACAUGCCAAGAGCUAGACUGCACCUGCAUAGCCACUUAGCCUCAUUCCAUAACCAUACUGAGCAAGAUUUUAAGGUAUUUUCCAACUCAGACAACACCUGAUGAGUCUCUAAAUUGAUUUCUGUGCGCUUAACUAUACAAAUCACUUAUUUUUAGCUAUGGCACAAACUGAGGAAUAAAUAAUGGAAACGUAUAAGGCGAUAUGUAAGAAGGUGAUAACAGGCAUUUCUUUCCCUCUAAGUCCAGUUUUAAAUUGCUACAUGACUACCAAAUCAAUUUGCAAUUUUUCAAACCACCACCUCCCCCAAGGAGAAUCCAACAAUUUCAACGAAAAGCAGUUAUCCUCACACCUUAUACUCCUCCACGUUCACGACAACCUAACUUCCUUCAGUAAGAAUUCUACCGUGCAAAGUUGAAGAGCUGCUAACGAUGAUAAUAACAUUCACAUUAGGGUAAAUGAGGUAAAUUUUCUGUUGAUACAACGUAAUAACUAUAACCACUACUGGUCCCAUCAACCCUUAUGAUUUCCUUCUCACUACUUCACUUGGAAGAGGGUGUUACAGAAGGAAUACAGGAAAGAAGCCUCUGAGGGGGACCAGCCACCCACCCAACAAGGACGUGACCAAUUAGCUCAAGAACCACCUGACAAGAAAAGCAUCAACCUCUUGUAGAGCCGGAAGACUUCACUGCACAGUCUGAAAGAGCCUCACUGGGCUCAGCUGUAGCCAAAGGGAUGCACUAAGAACUGGUUUCUUGAAAAAAUGGUAACACACAAAAGAAUUAACUGAAAUCCACUUGAAACUUGAAGGGAAAGGAGAGGUGGCCAUUGUAGAUAAGACCUGCCUCUAAUUUGGCAUAAACAAGUAAGACCCUGUAUGCAAGGCCAUCCUAGAAGUUAUGAAGAAUAAAAUAUUCUUUCACCCCGUGUUUAUAAAAUGUUUCCCCUAAGUCAACCUAGGGACACACAAAGAUAAGUAGGCCACACCUGGCUCCCAUUUCCAGCCAAGAUGCAGUAACAGGGGAUUUGUCCUCCCACCUGAAACAAGUGAGGGGAAAAAAAAAAAAAAAAACAGAUAAAAUAUAUAACAACAGUUUUCAGACAUUGGACAUUAGACAGGAAAUUCAGUUCAGGGAUGGUGAUCCCUCAGAGAGCAAAAGAAAAUGAGGAGAGUCACAUGAUUGUCUGAAGAGAGUUUCCAGGCUACAGCACAGAGAGGAGGAACUCAGAGCACAACAGCCUCCCUGACUUAAGGAGCCAGAGCUGGGAGUUUAGGAAGGCCAAGGAAGCUGGAGUUUGCUGAGCAGCAUUAGAAGUUCUGCAAAAAAAAAAAAAA
Molecule: long non-coding RNA, 8202 nt
Filed under: Sus scrofa (pig)
Lineage: Eukaryota; Metazoa; Chordata; Mammalia; Artiodactyla; Suidae
Description: lncRNA (ENSSSCG00005036722.1)
Source: RNAcentral